Long non-coding RNA from Felis catus (domestic cat), 8012 nucleotides. RefSeq lists it as uncharacterized. Lineage: Eukaryota; Metazoa; Chordata; Mammalia; Carnivora; Felidae. The transcript has 6 exons. The record is from RefSeq and is a predicted model, not a curated record.
GGGCCUGCAGGGGAGGGAACACAGGUACCGUCAGCAACUUGGCCAGCUCGGGGCGAGAUCUGGGCCUCUCGUUCCCGAUCCCCAUCUCCCAACGAAAUCUGUCUCUUCAGAAAUUACAUUAGACACUUACACCUCAGUGUGAAUAUUGAGGUAACGCGUUAAGUCACCGAGGGUCACUCCCAUUGGAAGCUUGGGCUUUCAUUGUAGAAAAAAGUCAUUUCUGCCCAUUAAAAGAAUUUCACGUAUGUGAAUGUGUGGAGGAGGCUCUUGGUGGGAAAGGAAGUUGAGGAAGAAAUAAGAAACUCUACUAAGCUAGCUUGUCCAGCAUUGGGGGAGAGCGUAGUGGAAACCCCUCGCCCCGAGUAAAAGAGCGAUAGCACUGUGGGAGGCAUGCUAGAUUAGGGGCAGAAGAAAGACAAAUGGUAGAAAGAUUGCUUUCCUUUAAUAAACGGACCCGCCUGCUCUCUGCUUCAAAGGGAAGAGGAACAGAUCGCCUGAAAUUUCUACAGCAUUUACCUGGAACUCUCAGAGACUCGGACCUCCCCCCCUUUGCCCACUCUGAUUUUACCAUGGGCUUGUGUUGUGUGUUGCAUGAAGGACGGUGGCUCCUGUGUUCAGAACCAGCCCUGGAAAAGCUCACAAACCGAGGCAAUUGCAAAGCGUAUUAGAGGCACGCGGCGUACGUUAUGUCCCCGGUUGAUAGCCUUUGGCACCUGGUCAUUUGCUUCUAGGGAAAGUUAAAAGCAGGUUAUAAUUUUACUUUUAGUGAAGGAGGGGUUUUUAAAAAAUGAAAAUCAUUUUCUUAUAUCAAAUCCUACAGAUGCUGUGUAAAAAUCCAAAUAAAUUCAGAAAAGUAUAAAGAAGUGGAAAAAAAUAAAAGCAACCUUAAAAUCUGACCUAAAGACAUUUGGGUAGGUUCCCGUCUGGGACCGUUAUGAAUAGCGCUGCUGUGAACAUUCUUCUGCACGUUUGUGGUGAAUAUAUAUACACGUUCCUGUUGGUGCAGUCAUUUUAAUGAUUAUGAAGAACAAAACCAAGUCAGGAGUCUGCCUCCAGAAUUGGAAACAUCACCUCGGUCCCCAGUUCUGUUCAUCUGUGAAUACACUGUUUUCACAGAGGAAGGAUUGAAGGAAAGGAACAGACAGGGAGUGGGAAGCCCCCCGGCCCUCCCAAGCUGAAAAGGACAAAUUUGGCAUCACGCUGGGAACCUAGAAUGAAAACUCUGUACCCAUUAGACCACAGCUCCCAACUGCCCCCUCCCUGCAGCCCCUGGCAACCAGCAUUCUACUUUUUGUUCCUGGGAAUUUGAUUACUCCUGGUAUCUCGGCUCGUCACUCAGAACAGACCUGAACUGAAAUCUCUCACAUGAUCCAAUAGCAUGUAGACAGACGCAGGAAUCAAAGAUGAAGCCAAAAAGACCAGGUUGGGAGGUGAGGUGCAGGAUGGGGGGGACGGUAAUACAUGUGUCAUAGAGGGCUUGGGAAGAGAGGCCUGAGGUCUUCCUGAUGGGUGGUGGCCCCAUAUUCAUGGGUGAUCGGAGUAGGUUAGAGGAAAAGGGUCAGUGUAGACCAUGCUUCAAGGUCAUGAAUCAGGACCCACCUUUCCCUAGAAGUCCAUCCUGCCUACCUCAACCCCAUAGACCCUUGGUUUUUCUCCAACCAACAUAUUCUCCCCUAAUGUCCUCACAGAUGACCUUGCCUUAUAGGAGAUGACUUUUGACUUGGGUCUUGUCUUGCAAGUGAUAAUAGCCCACCCUCAUAGAGCACAGCCUAUGUGUCCAACCCUGUUCUAAGCCUGGGUAUAUAUUCAAUUAUUUAAUCCUCACAGCGACCCUAUAUGGAAGGUGCUAUUUCUCUACCCUUUCUACCAAGAGGAAUUGAGACACAAACUGAUUAAACAAGUUGCCCAAAGUUCACACUGUGGUAGGGCCCAGAUUCAAACCCAGGCACUCUGGUGUCAGAAUCUAUGCUUGUAACCAUCCUAAGUGGAAUGGAAGCCCCUUAGAGGCCCCGUUUCCAUCUACCGCCCGCACCCCCCCCCCAACUAACCCAUGGAAAAUCUCAGAAUCUUAGUGUCAUCCCUACAGAACUGUGGGCGGUAGGACUGCUGACCAGAACUGCCCUGUCCCUGGCUAUGUUACAGUUCAGGUUAGGGGCACUUGGGCUUCAUAAAGGUGUUAUGUCCCCUUACAGGUUUCAUGGCCAAGGCCACUUUUGUGGUCCUUCUGUGCAUGGCCUUUCUGUGCAACUUAUCCUCCUGCGGUGAGGGAAGAAAAGCACCUCUUUCUGCCAAGGAGUGUUGGUGUAUCUGCUCGCUCUCCAGGAAAGAUGUGGCCAGAGCUGUGCACGCCCAUGUCACCUGCAGUCUAGACGUGGACCCCAAACAGAGGGUGGCAGGGCAGGCAGGUUUUCCCAGGGCCGGGGUGUCCCGGGGGUGCUGGGGAACUGGGAGAUGCUGUCCCCACCGCCUUAGGGGGGAGCAGGAAGGCAAGAAUUUAGCUUCGCAAACAGAUGGAGAUUUACACGGUAAAUUACUGCCCUUUCACUGCUGGUUUCUUAGGAAGGAGAGGAAGGGAGAGGGGGAAAAACAAGAGCUCGACCUCCUCCUGGGGCAGCAUGAAUUAAGCGUGGGUGACAAGAAGUUCUGCCCAGCUCAGUCUCCCGAAGUGCACUACCCAGAGCCUUUCCUCACACACCGGGCAUUUGGGGUUUGAUUUGCGUCAAGCACAGAGUUAGUGCUGGGAGUGUUUUGACUCUCAUCUGGAAGUGAGUCGUGGCAUUCUACUGUCACGAGGGCAAAAACCAGCCCUAAACUCUACACGGAGAGCAGCAAGGUUAUCACUUAGCUGCUUGAUGCUGGGGCCAGCCCAGUCACUCCUGCACAUUCUAACCCCCUCAAAAUCGAGUCAGGGUGAUUUACGCCAGGUUAGAAGUAAAAAGGCUGCUUUUAGUUAUUUCACGCCAUGUGUCUCCUACAGGGUGGCCAGCUGGGGAAACACCUGUGUGGGCUGCUCAGGUUUUUGUACUGAUUUGCAAAGGCUCCCACUGAUCCAAAUGUCAUAGCCGGUCUGGUAUUCAAAGUUGAAAUUCCUUGAUGCGGGUCAACUAUCUUGUGCAAACGGAACCUGAUGACAGUCUCCGCAGAGGAGCAAGUAUGAAGUCUGAUUCUAAAGUGACAUGACAGAUCUCCAAACAAAGAAAUUAGAACUUGCGUGUUUGCAGUGGUUACCUGUGAGGUUGACGCUGACAUUUUUCUUGCUCACAACAGCUUUGGAAUCUUUCUCUGCAACUCCAGAACUUACAGUACCUUCUUUUUUUUGCAUGCCUGCGAAGCAGCAAAGGCUUGUUUUUCUGAAGGUGGGUUUAAAUUUUGGAAAACGUCAAAAAUAGUUCAAAGCCACGUCUGGCGAAUCAGGCCAAUAAUCAGGGUGAGUGAUCUCAUUUGCUACUUGAAGCCAAAAAGCGUAACUAUGAAGUCAUGUAUCUGAUGUCCCUCCUGGACUAGCCCUGAAGACCUCCAAAAGGAACAGGGCUGUUUUUAGGCAGUCAUAGCAUUCUGCAUUAUUGAUGUCAACUUUGAAGGGCCAGUAUUUACUUGGCUAAAUAGGUUGUGAAUUACUUUUUUAUUUAAAAAAAAAAUCAGCCUUAUUACUUAAAAUCAUACAUAUUUAUGUAAAACCUCUUCCUCUCAAAUAACCAUGUGAUUCUUGUUGGUGUAUAAGCGUAUUACCUAGCACUGUUUUUCCUGUAUUUAUCAUAGGCCAUUAAUUUAUUUCAAUAGUCCCUACCAUUGCUCCUGAGUUUUCCUUGGCAGAAGUCCAGUUCCUGAAUGUACUGCCGAGCAAGGAGCAAGUAGUUUAUCAUAACAAGGGGCUGGGAUUAUUGUUGAGAAAAGCAGAGGGAGGUCACGUCUACACUGCACACUCCCCCCGCCCCCCCCCCCGCCCCAGCCCAGGCCAGCUGAGCUGCAGUCAAGCGGCUGGAAUUUGCUUUGGGCUUCUCUUCUAUCCAGUGCAGUCUUUCAGGGAGGUCAUCCCAUGCUGUUCCGUUCUUUGUGGUUUACUGAGUCCUCACCUGUGCCUGGUGUCCGGCUGGGCACCUCCGAGAAGGGGAACGUGGUUGUCCCCUUCGAGUCAAGGUGUGGGAAAGGCAAGUACCGUGAAGGAGGCACAGAGGAUGCCGUAAGGUUAUGUGAAGGGAGAGACCCGACCGUGGAGGCAGAAGAAGGGGCAGAAGGGGGGUGACAUCUGAGACACAGCCAUCAGAGGGUGGUGAUGGCAGGUUGGCUGGAGCGGGCUUGCUGCAGGACCCGAGGCCACCAGCCCUUCCUCGGAGAGCGGAGUCCCCAGCCAAGCCCUGACAGCUGGGCCGGUUCUGCGUCUGGGAUUACAGCAUUCGGUGAGAAGUUAAUCACAAACAUGAAUCAGCCUUGUUUUUUCCUUCCCAGCUCGGCUCCCGAGCUCUGCAGGGGAGUGGGCAGGGCCCCUCACGGAUGUACAGGAAGUCAUACUGGGGGGAAACAUGAAGCCAGCCAUUUCUCACUGGAGCCAAGCUGUUACCUGUGUCUGGGGAUUGCCCGGGGACUGACUACGCUACCUAGGGGCAGAAUCCCCUCAGCAUGGCCGGCACGAAGGAGAACUGUUUCACGGGCCAACUGACUUGUUCGUUUCCACCCAGGCUGGUGCCCACUGGGCAGUUUGACGAGUCAGGGAGCCCCACCCCAGCUCUGCAGCUCCCCCUGGGCUGAACUACACCUAGGUCAGAAACCCUCCCUGGCUAAGGUUUCUGUUCUCUCUUCUCCCAUCCCCAGGGGUCAGUUUACAUAGAAAACCCACUUCUCUUCCAAACCAGCAGGACUGGGUUGAGACCCUCGGUUCUGCCAAAAACCCCUCCCUCCCCAACCCUCUGUAGGAAUGUCCCACGAUCUCCCUACCCUCACGUUCCCUCACAUUCGCACUGCUUCAGCGCUGCAGUCAUCCCACGGGCUGAUAUUUGCAGGCUGGUUGUCACUUACAAACACUGGUGACGGGGUCAGCGUCCUCUGUGCUGGCACCCCUUUGCCCUCUGUUGACAGAUUUGGUAAAUGCCGCCCGUGGUUGUGUCCAUGCUGACCCUACAGGGCAGCCAUUUAGCGAAUGCUGUGCUUGGCUCAGAGUGAUGCCAUCACGAAAUAUUUUCCUUCCUUCUGAAUUCCGUUUGCGAAACCCUCAGCUGCCAGCAGUUCUUGACAAAGCAAAGGCCUCAAUGUCAUCAGAGGGAAGUAAUCCUCCCCAGAAUCUUAGUAAAUCUCAGUAGGUUGCCGGGACUGCGAAGUAUUUCAUUUCUUUGUUUCUUUUCGUUUUUUUUUUUUUUUUUUUAAGGCAUUAAAGUUACUGCAUACAAGAAGUUAAUCAGAAAGCUUUAGUGACUUGGACUUCAGAGGUGAUUACACAAGCCCACAAAUGUUCAAGAAAUUCUCUGAGUUUGAGUGUCGCAUCUAUUUAUGUAGCAAAAGGAAUCCGAUUCUUUUUUCCCUCUGCCCCAGGAAAGUUCCAUCUGGGAAAUAGGCACUAGGGAGUGCUAGAACCAACAGGGUUUCUUACUGUCAAAACCUAAAGCAAGUCAGUCCCACCCCUGGCAUCAAAAAAAAAAGUGGAUUUGAGUGGCUUGAUCCAGAAAGGAGAACUUGCAAAGGGGGUGGCAUGGUCCAGAAUCCAGUGAGACGGGUAGAUGGAGAUCAAGAUGUACCGGGAGAGGCCUGAGUAGGCGUGGGAGGAGCACACAGGAAAAGGCAUGAAAAACAUUCAAGGAGCUGUUCUCCCUUCCAAGCGCACUGAGUGGCUACAGGAAAGGGUCAAGAUAAUGUGUGCGAACAGACAUCAGUGUGUCCUUUCAGCCUAGACAAACAUACACCAGAGGUUGUGCACACACUGUGACCUCAACGUCAAAGUCACUCGUUAUCAACAAAGCCCGCACUCACAUCUGGACAAAGGCCGAAAGAUCGCCCACAGAUGCGCUCGCCCACCCCCACCUGAGACAUGAAUAAACAAGCAUGCUGUCCAAAGCUGUCCCCUCUAUCUGUAACAGACUGCAGGGAUCUUCUCUCGGGCUUCUCCCGGUGUCUUUCAAAGUGAAUUGUUUGCUCAGACCUCCGUUUUGACUUUCAACACAAUCGAACACAUUAGCAGACCCGCUUAGGUGGGGUUUGCCAGGCUGUGGGUUGGCAUCCUUUGGUGGGAGAAGGGGCGUGGUGGAGCACUCGGUGAUGAUGUUGGAUGGGGCGGUCCUACAGGCAGUUUCCUGUUUCAGAUGAGACUUGAGACCACGCCCCUGGGAAAUGGAGGUCGUCUGGGUUCUUCAAAAACCCUGUAGCUUGGCCAACUUCUAACCCAAAUUUUUAUUCCUGUCCGCCUGAAAGCCCCCAGAAGCUUUCACCUGAAUGAAGCCCACCUCAGGCACUGUUGUUUUGCAUGUUCCACAGCUAAGGAGUCCCAGCAAGAUGCAGCUGGCUUUCCAGGUAAAGGAACAAGGUCGGUUUUUGUUUUUUUGUUUUAAUGUAUCAGAUUUCCUUCAUAUGGAUUCAAGUGAAGAAAUUCGUCUUUUAAUUCUGAAGGAUGAUUUCAAAAAAUACUAACGGACAUCUCUAUAAGGAAAAUAGAAAUAACUUUUGUGAAUUUUUCAGCCACUUUUCCUAACACUGCCCUUUUAUUCAUCUGGUCUUUAGACGUAAAGCACACAUUUAAGUGCCCUCGUUUACAGGGGACUAGAUACACAGACAUCCCCUCAGCCCCUGCUGAGGGAUUGUUGGUGUAUGGAACCAACAUGUCUUGAAGACUCGUGUUCAAGGAAAUGUCAGAGUGGAGGAAAUGGUGUGCGGUACGCAGCCUUCCAGCAGCUUCUAUCACCAUCCAUUCUGUCCAUCACGCUCAGUAAUGGGAGAGGAGCAACAUUCCACACAUGGGGAAUCAGAGGCCUUUCCAGAGAAGCUAGAGUGCUUAUCCACCGAGGGAGUGAUCUGGUGCCAGUAACUGAAAAAAUGUUGCAGAAUGUUCAGUACAAAAGUGAUCCGCUAAUGGGCCUACAACCCCCAGAAGACCCAGCACUUUUUCAGAUGUACAAGAAGCAACUGAACAGCUCAGAGGUCCAUCCUCAUCCAAAAUUUAUAACACAAUCAAUCCAUUCCAUAUGUUCCUGCAACUGGAAGAGAUUUUGAGUGUGUUUAAAUGCUGAUGAAAAAGAGCUAGUCACAAAGAAGAGAGGUCAAAGAUACAGGAAAGAGGAAGACCAAUGGGAGGAAGACCCAGGAAGAGGCAGGGCGUAGAAUCAAGAACAGGCACCAGGACUGGUCAUAAAGAGUUGGAAGGCAGCCUCUUUUACUGUCCCAGGAGGGAAGCUACCGGUGGGUUUGUAGCUUUGCAAGGAGUAAAGGAUUCUGGGACUGGACACCAUCACACCCAUUUCUGUGUAUAGGGAAGAGUUCUCCCAGAUCACCCCAGUAUUUUUGCAAGUGCAACACUGUACUGUGCCUGUCCAAGGGGGAGAGAACAAGGGUGAGAGGUCCAGGCUCUAAAAGGAGCAAAGUUAUAUGAGCAAUUCCUUACAUUUGUAGGUUGGGUUGUUUUUGGUUUUGGUUUUGUUUUCCCUAAACAUUUCACUUUGGAGUGCUUGGGUUUAAUCAGAGAAGCCGGGAAACGUUCUGGGGAUGUCAUCUCACAGACUGCCCAGAGAAGACAGAUUCAGGAGAUUCGGGAGCGGAACCCCCAGAACCCCCUCUAGGGGCUGUGAGGAGCUAUCAGUCUGGGCCUGGGUGUAAUGCCCUCCCUCUCAGGAGGAAGGAUGCCAGGGGGAGCUGCUGCCUAACACAUACUGUGUUCGACCCGGAAAUAAUCCUUUCAGUGUGAGUAUGCAAAUGAUGUCCUUCCUCUAUCAGUUUGAAAAUGAAAUCAUGUUGGGGCGCCUGGGUGGCGCAGUCGGUUAAGCGUCCGACUUCAGCCAGGUCAUGAUCUCGCAGUCCGUGAGUUCGAGCCCCGCGUC